AUGGGCACAUUUAUUUUAGUUGUCAGGAUGGUCUCAGAGGUCACAAAAAAAAAAAAAAGAGCAAGGAAAAAAAUCAUGUGCAAGAUGGCUUCUACAGAUAAUAAAAAAUUAAAUAUUUUGUCAUGCUUUUACAUGUUCCUAACUGCACUGGAACCUGAUCUUCUUGCUACAACUUUGGGCACAAAUAAAAUUUAGCAAAUGGAUAUAGACUGUACGUGCAAUGCAGGCAUAUGCUGACAUAUGACUCCCAUAUGUCAGUUCACAGCGAUUCUACAGCUCCUGAGCCUGUUUUGUUCUUUAAAUAGCUUACCACCCUUUUAACAUUUUGGACCAUUUUUCUAUUUUCAUUAUGGUUUUUCUUCCUUCCUUGAACGUCACAUUCAUUUAUAAGUGACUUGGAUCUGGCAGAAAGGACUGAGAGAAAGAAGGUAACCCCACCGGAGCAGUCCAACAUCUUUAGGAAAACUGUGUGGACUAUGAGUAUCCCGGCUUCCAGGAGCUCUGCACUCCCCCAUCACACACCCCAGGGAUGAUGAAGACCCAUCUGCCUCAGCUCAUCUCCCAGACCCUUCAUACACAUUUCACUGUGACCAGUGCUGUCACAAGUGGUAAGUGUUGCUGGGAAGACGUUCUGCCUCUCCUUGUGCCUGUUAAAGAAGGUGUCAGAAAGACUUACCUGAGGUGUUUGUCUUGCACUGCUGCUGUGGCUGCAGGGUGAAUCCACCAUUCCUCCCCCACAGCACCACCAUUGCAAGUUCCAGUGUCAGCAAGGAGCAGGAUCAGAAACAGUACACCGGUGUCUGUCACAGACAGCAGCAGUGAG
RNAcentral lists this long non-coding RNA (823 nucleotides) under Gallus gallus (chicken). RNAcentral's name for it is "lncRNA (ENSGALG00010019949.1)". Lineage: Eukaryota; Metazoa; Chordata; Aves; Galliformes; Phasianidae. The record is from RNAcentral.